GAUGAACGCUGGCGGCGUGCCUAAUACAUGCAAGUCGAGCGAACGGACGAGAAGCUUGCUUCUCUGAUGUUAGCGGCGGACGGGUGAGUAACACGUGGAUAACCUACCUAUAAGACUGGGAUAACUUCGGGAAACCGGAGCUAAUACCGGAUGAUAUUUUGAACCGCAUGGUUCAAAAGUGAAAGACGGUCUUGCUGUCACUUAUAGAUGGAUCCGCGCUGCAUUAGCUAGUUGGUAAGGUAACGGCUUACCAAGGCAACGAUGCAUAGCCGACCUGAGAGGGUGAUCGGCCACACUGGAACUGAGACACGGGCCAGACUCCUGCGGGAGGCAGCAGUAGGGAAUCUUCCGCAAUGGGCGAAAGCCUGACGGAGCAACGCCGCGUGAGUGAUGAAGGUCUUCGGAUCGUAAAACUCUGUUAGUAGGGAAGAACAUAUGUGUAAGUAACUGUGCACAUCUUGACGGUACCUAAGCAGAAAGCCACGGCUAACUACGUG
RNAcentral lists this ribosomal RNA (497 nucleotides) under uncultured bacterium. RNAcentral's name for it is "partial 16S ribosomal RNA". It matches the Rfam family "Bacterial small subunit ribosomal RNA", at positions 28 to 507 of the family's 1533-position model. The record is from RNAcentral.